CUGGGGGAAGAAGUUCCCCAGGACUCAGCAUCGGCUAACUCCGUGCCAGCAGCCGCGGUAAUACGGAGGAUGCAAGCGUUAUCCGGAAUUAUUGGGCGUAAAGCGUCCGCAGGUGGUACAUCAAGUCUGCUGUCAAAGACCGGAGCUCAACUCCGGGCAGGCAGUGGAAACUGGGUGAACUAGAGUACGGUAGGGGUAGAGGGAAUUCCCAGUGUAGCGGUGAAAUGCGUAGAGAUUGGGAAGAACACCAGUGGCGAAGGCGCUCUACUGGGCCGUAACUGACACUAAGGGACGAAAGCUAGGGUAGCGAAAGGGAUUAGAUACCCCUGUAGUCCUAGCCGUAAACGAUGGAUACUAGGCGUUGCUUGUAUCGACCCGAGCAGUGCCGUAGCUAACGCGUUAAGUAUCCCGCCUGGGGAGUACGCACGCAAGUGUGAAACUCAAAGGAAUUGACGGGGGCCCGCACAAGCGGUGGAGUAUGUGGUUUAAUUCGAUGCAACGCGAAGAACCUUACCAGGGCUUGACAUGUCCGGAACUGCGGGGAAACUCGCAGGUGCCUUAGGGAACCGGAACACAGGUGGUGCAUGGCUGUCGUCAGCUCGUGUCGUGAGAUGUUGGGUUAAGUCCCGCAACGAGCGCAACCCUCGUCCUUAGUUGCCAGCAAUGAGGUUGGGCACUCUAGGGAGACUGCCGGUGACAAACCGGAGGAAGGUGGGGAUGACGUCAAGUCAGCAUGCCCCUUACGUCCUGGGCAACACACGUACUACAAUGGUCGGGACAAAGGGCAGCGAGCUCGCGAGAGUAAGCGAAUCUCAGCAAACCCGGCCUCAGUUCAGAUUGCAGGCUGCAACUCGCCUGCAUGAAGGAGGAAUCGAGGGUAAUCGCAGGUCAGCAUAUCGGUGAAUUCGUUCCCGGGCCUUGACCCCGCCC
This 930-nucleotide ribosomal RNA is filed under the name Xenococcus sp. CR_34M. RNAcentral's name for it is "bacterial SSU rRNA". It matches the Rfam family "Bacterial small subunit ribosomal RNA", at positions 438 to 1395 of the family's 1533-position model. The record is from RNAcentral. Lineage: Bacteria; Bacillati; Cyanobacteriota; Cyanophyceae; Pleurocapsales; Xenococcaceae.